AGGAUGAACGCUAGCGGCAGGCUUAACACAUGCAAGUCGAGGGGUAUAGUAGCAAUACUAGAGACCGGCGCACGGGUGCGUAACGCGUAUGUAACCUACCUUGAACAGGGGGAUAGCCCAGAGAAAUUUGGAUUAAUACCCCAUGGUAUAUUAGAAUGGCAUCAUUUUAUUAUUAAAGUCACAACGGUUCAAGAUGGGCAUGCGUCCCAUUAGCUUGUUGGUAAGGUAACGGCUUACCAAGGCAACGAU
This 249-nucleotide ribosomal RNA is filed under the name uncultured bacterium. RNAcentral's name for it is "partial small subunit ribosomal RNA". It matches the Rfam family "Bacterial small subunit ribosomal RNA", at positions 26 to 280 of the family's 1533-position model. The record is from RNAcentral.